This is a non-coding RNA of Triticum aestivum (bread wheat), 134 nucleotides long. The record is from Rfam. Lineage: Eukaryota; Viridiplantae; Streptophyta; Magnoliopsida; Poales; Poaceae.
AUGGUACUCCCCCGUCCCAAAAUUCUUCUUUUAGAUUUGUCUAGAUAUGGAUGUAUCUAGUACUAAACCGCAACUUGAUACAUUUGUAUUUAGAUAAAUUUAAGACAAAAAUUUUGAAACAGAGGGAGUACGUA